This is a non-coding RNA of Podarcis lilfordi (Lilford's wall lizard), 74 nucleotides long. NCBI's taxonomy places the organism in Eukaryota, Metazoa, Chordata, Lepidosauria, Squamata, Lacertidae. The record is from the annotation of a GenBank genome assembly.
CUCCCAUUUCCUCAGUUGGUAAGAGCGGGGUGCUGAUAACACCAAGGUUGACGGUUCGAUCCCAGAAUGGGACA